Helianthus annuus (common sunflower) is the source of this 947-nucleotide long non-coding RNA. RefSeq lists it as uncharacterized. The record is from RefSeq and is a predicted model, not a curated record. The transcript has 2 exons. Lineage: Eukaryota; Viridiplantae; Streptophyta; Magnoliopsida; Asterales; Asteraceae.
GUGGUCUAGAUUGCUCCACAUCAACAUAUGAUUUUAGAGCUUUGGAGGGUAGGAUUGUCUUUUUACACAUGUUGUAUCAUUUCAUACACACACCCCAAUACAUGACUGUAAGUCAUUUCAUUCACCAUCAUCAGUUUUGCACUUCACCCCACCCUCUUACCAACUCCUUCAUCUUUCUCUCUCUAAAAAACAUCAAGAACACUUUUUUUUUUCAAUUUUAUCAGAUUUGAACAAACCGUUUCUCAAAGACCUAGAUGUAGAUCUUAUACUCAUUCCUUUCUAUUGAAGCUACCAAAUCUGAGGAUCGAAGCAAUUAUCGAAGCUCUUCAAAAAAAGAAAGUAAGGUGGUGAUUCUACUAGAUGGCAUAUCCUGUUACUACAACCCGUAGCUACACAUGUUACAUUUUUUUACAGCUACAUAUGUAACGACCCUUUGUUAUAUAUGUUAAUGACCAACUUGUUGGAAUAGGUUAAUGGAGUUUAUGCAAGAGAUGAGUCAGCAAAGGUAGCAUAUAAACAGCAAAGACAGACCGUCAAUGGAAGCUCCACCGCUUCUUAGUGAUCUGUGCUUUCGUUUACUAGUAAUAUGUAAUGUGAGACUCUUAUUAUUUUGUCUAGGACGUGUUGUUAAAAAUGUUCUGGCCUUCCGAACUUCUGCCCUGAAUUCGACCUCAGCAUAUUUGUGUUGCUUUUGGGCUCUAUGCAUCCAUUUUUGUGUAACUUGCUUGUAGGCAAUGUAGCUUUUUACAAGUUCACCAGUACAUUAAUCUCUAACAGAUGUUAUGUGUAACUUGCUGAAAGUCUUAACACACGUUAUAAUAGAGCCUUGACACACGUUAUAUCAGUUAUACCGUUAUGGGUAUAGUAAACGGCCCACCAUUUUUCUUAGUGCUAUGUAUUUUCGUUUACUAGUAAUAUGUAAUGUGAGAGUCUUAUUGUUUUGUCUA